Molecule: long non-coding RNA, 669 nt
Filed under: Androctonus crassicauda
Lineage: Eukaryota; Metazoa; Arthropoda; Arachnida; Scorpiones; Buthidae
Source: RNAcentral
AUCACCCUGUAGUUACACUAAUAUUAUGUCAUAUCUCUAAUCUAACAAAACCAUAACAUAAAAUAAAAAAGAAAUUAAAAAACUCCUUAUACAUUUUUUUUGGAAUAGCAUACAAAACUUUUCUUGUGCCCCCUUUGCACAGUUUCUAGCUUUCUCGUAUUUCCUCUUUUCAACCGGAUAGGCUCAUGCAUCUGGAAUCUCUACCAUUGAUCUUUCAUUUAUUAUUGUCUCAUUGCAUUUACCUUUUGUGAUCUCUAUUCCUUCCGACAUUGACGCUUGUAAUUUCUUGACCAAUGGCUUUGUGACCUUCGCUUCUUCCCAAUUUGUCUUUGUUUUCAGUGUAUGAGGCUAGUGCAAGGGCAGUGCUUGUAGUCCCUGUGGCUAUGUCUUUUCUAUGUUCCGCAAUUCUUUGUUGCAAGAUUCAUGUAGUAACAUCUAUGUAUGCAGUACUUUGCUGGAAGUGUAAAAACUUAGAAAGGGAUUUUAUAUGUUCUGGAUUUUUGGGUUUCCUUCCUUUUUUGUUUUUCAUUUCUUAUUCUAUUGAAUACUGUUGGCGUCCUAUAGAUCGCUGGAUUCUUAUUUACUCUUUUUAGGAGACUUUUUGCUAUGUUACAUUUAGCUAGUUGGUACAGCAAUGGUAUGUAUUCUGGGUUUCGCAUUACUUCUUCA